AUAGUCACCAAAUUCAAUUUGUUUUUAUCUUUCAGCAAAGACAAAGUACCUUAAUCUUUGACACAGUUUGCCAAUUCUUCUGCCAAGCGCGUCUCUAUUAAGCAUCUAAACAUAAUGACACGGUUGAUAGUUCAAUCCCCAUGUCGAAGUAUCCUUGGGUAAGAUGCUGAACCCCGAGUUGCCCCUGAUGCGUCCAUCAGAGUGACAGCCUAGCUGAGCCUAUUGAUUUGGACACACAGGAAGGGUGCACGGCUCUAUUAAAAACAGAGAAGGCACAAAUCCUUUUACCGAUGAAGACCACAGGGGAUCGACAGAAGGACUAAUAGCACAGUAUCUAUUAUAGAGCAAUCUCCUUGCUGUGUAAUUUGAGAGAUGAAACAAGAAAA
This is a long non-coding RNA of Neolamprologus brichardi, 386 nucleotides long. RefSeq lists it as uncharacterized. The record is from RefSeq and is a predicted model, not a curated record. Lineage: Eukaryota; Metazoa; Chordata; Actinopteri; Cichliformes; Cichlidae.